Long non-coding RNA from Symsagittifera roscoffensis, 867 nucleotides. RefSeq lists it as uncharacterized. The record is from RefSeq and is a predicted model, not a curated record. NCBI's taxonomy places the organism in Eukaryota, Metazoa, Xenacoelomorpha, Acoela, Convolutidae. The transcript has 2 exons.
UUUUGUGCUCUUACAUUCCUUGUGGUGGAACGUAGUCAGUCUCUGUCAUCUUUUUACAAGCAAAAAAAAUUGUCUUUUGACUAAUCCAAUCAAAACCUGAAAAUGGAUGCGCCGUUAAAUUUACCCGAAUGCUCUAUUUGUUUUGAUUUUUUGGACGAUCCAAGACAGUUGCCUUGUGGACACUGUUAUUGUGGCCCACAUAAACCUUGUUUGGAAAUCUUGAAAAAUGAAAGCCUGUACAGAUGUGCAAUUUGUAAAAUUGAUCAUCAAAUUAUUAUCGAAGACCUGAAGCCAAUGUAUGGACUUAGAGAUUUUCUAAAGGAGCAGCAAGAUGUAACAGAAGGCGCUUUAAAGAAGAUCCUGAUUAUGACUAUAAUGACAACAACAAACCAGCACCGGUUAGAAUGGACAUGUUCAGACAGGAGGACGAGGCAUUGCGAUCUGCGCUCGAUUUUUCGGUGGAAUACCAUUAUCUCUCUUCCCAGGAUAUUUCUAUUAAUCCCGUGAGGAUCGAUUUUCCGUACCACCCAAAUCAAAACGAAAGUCAUAAAAUCUCAUCUGAUUAUCUUAUAAACAAGUUUUGCUUAUUCCAAAUGCGAAUUCAGAAACAAAAUGAUAAACUUAAGGUAUAUCUUGACAUCCGAGGAGCAGAAAGCGGUGUAAAAUACACCGUUUUGUUCAAACGUGCGGUUGGACCCGACUACUGGAUUUGGAGAGACCAGUUACUUGAAGAUAGCAUCAACCAAGAACCAAUAGCUAAAGUUACAAAACUUAACUGGCCGGAACUGCCCGUAAUGAUGCCACCAAAUACUGACUACAAAAUAUCUGCUUCAAUUCAUUUCAUGCCAAUAAAUUUUACUUAGCAAA